GAUGAACGCUAGCUACAGGCUUAACACAUGCAAGUCGAGGGGAAACGAUAGAGAAAGCUUGCCUUUUCUAGGCGUCGACCGGCGCACGGGUGAGUAACGCGUAUCCAACCUGCCCAUCACUUGGGGAUAACCUUGCGAAAGUAAGACUAAUACCCAAUGAUAUCUCUAGAAGACAUCUGAAAGGGAUUAAAGAUUUAUCGGAGAUGGAUGGGGAUGCGUCUGAUUAGCUUGUGGGCGGGGUAACGGCCCACCAAGGCGACGAUCAGUAGGGGUCCUGAGAGGAAGGUCCCCCACAUUGGAACUGAGACACGGUCCAAACUCCUACGGGAGGCAGCAGUGAGGAAUAUUGGUCAAUGGGCGAGAGCCUGAACCAGCCAAGUAGCGUGCAGGAUGACGGCCCUAUGGGUUGUAAACUGCUUUUAUAAGGGAAUAAAGUGAGUCUCGUGAGACUUUUUGCAUGUACCUUAUGAAUAAGGACCGGCUAAUUCCGUGCCAGCCGCCGCAGUAA
Molecule: ribosomal RNA, 508 nt
Filed under: uncultured bacterium
Lineage: Bacteria
Description: partial 16S ribosomal RNA
Rfam family: Bacterial small subunit ribosomal RNA
Source: RNAcentral